Molecule: ribosomal RNA, 261 nt
Filed under: uncultured bacterium
Lineage: Bacteria
Description: partial small subunit ribosomal RNA
Rfam family: Bacterial small subunit ribosomal RNA
Source: RNAcentral
AGAAUCAACGCUGGCGGCGUGCCUAACACAUGCAAGUCGAACGAGGAAGUGGAGCAAUCCAUGAGUAAAGUGGCGACCGGGUGAGUAACACGUGACUAACCUACCCUGAAGUGGGGAAUAACUCCGGGAAACCGGGGCUAAUACCGCAUAACAUCGUCGUUUCUAAAGAAGUGACGAUCAAAGCAGCAAUGCGCUAUGGGAGGGGGUCGCGGCUGAUUAGCUAGUUGGCGGGGUAAUGGCCCACCAAGGCGAAGAUCGGUA